UAGAGCAUGAUUAUCGCUGUCCUUAGCUAGGGUUCUUAAUGUAAUUAGGAUUAAAAAUAAAUCAAAAAUAGAUGUUAUUAGAAAAAACGUUUCUUAGUUAAGGACAAAAACAGACGUCUCCUAGAGACACAUGUCUCUCAUUGAAGGGAGUUUAGCUUUUUUCUCUUCACAUCUUUGAUCUUUCUCUCUCGACGGAAAACGAUCUGGAUUCACGGUGGGAAGAAGCGACCGGAGAAGCUGUUGACGAAGUCAUCUUCCUCAGCCGUCACACCACCAUCUUGAACCGUACUGCUCUGCCUGUUCACCCCAUCGGAGUGCUUCAUCUGAAAGAAGGAGAAUCGCCGCCGCAGGGAGGAAAGCCGGGAUGGGCGGCGUUGCUGUUGACCGUACUAUAGAUAACAUAGCUUUCAGAGGUUGGGUCGAGACUAAUAAUCAAAGUGAUCGGAAGUUUAUUCCUUUACGUAUGAUUCCACAGGAUUUACUCUUCAGUUGACUUGUGGUGUCGCAGGUGGGGUUUGUGACUUUUUUCCUCAGUUCGAUUCUAGACAACCUGAGCUCUACCAUUGUCAUGGUUUCUUUACUCAGGAAACUGGUUCCUCAAUCAGAGUACCGCAAACUUCUAGGAGCUGUUGUGGUGAUAGCAGCAAAUGCAGGAGGAGCAUGGACUCCAAUCGGUGAUGUUACGACAACUAUGCUAUGGAUUCAUGGUCUUGGAGUUCUCUGGGUCUUGUUAGACGCCAUCCACUACGGUGAAUCAGAAAGACAAAAGCUCAAAAUACCUCAAGCCUUAUCCUUCACUAGUAUAGAAUGAAUUAUCCAGUAAGAUUUAUGCAUUUCGAGUUUUUAUGUGUUGUCUGGAAAGUGUAAGACUAGUUUGAGGGAACCAAACUUCAAUUGCAGAAAUGUCUCUGAUCUUUUUCAAAGUUUCUUUACUAGGUUGUUUCAUGGCUUCCAUUGUC
Brassica napus (rape) is the source of this 959-nucleotide long non-coding RNA. RefSeq lists it as uncharacterized. The transcript has 3 exons. NCBI's taxonomy places the organism in Eukaryota, Viridiplantae, Streptophyta, Magnoliopsida, Brassicales, Brassicaceae. The record is from RefSeq and is a predicted model, not a curated record.